UGAGCUUCAAAGAAGAGAAUGCUCUUACUAAGAGCUUGGCCAUAGUCAUGCCCAGCAAAAGCAAAUGGGAGACAGAGGAACAGAAACAGGGGAGCCACUGAAAUGAGCCUAAAAUGCUUCUCCAUGGAUCUAUAUUAAGUGUUAAGAAAAUGAACCCAAAUGCAGUGAAUGAGCAAACACGCAGAUUCAGGUCUGUUCUGCAGCAGCAAUGGAUCUAUAUACGAAAAAAGGGGAAGAUAGCA
RNAcentral lists this unclassified non-coding RNA (242 nucleotides) under Hevea brasiliensis (rubber tree). Lineage: Eukaryota; Viridiplantae; Streptophyta; Magnoliopsida; Malpighiales; Euphorbiaceae. The record is from RNAcentral.